AUCUAGAGACUUCCUCCAUCUCUAAUAGGCAGCGAUGCCCUGAAAGGUGGCCAUUCCAGCAAUCAGGAGAUGUGGGGAUUUCAAAGCUCUGGGCUCCUCUGGUCACCAGCCCGUUGUGUGUCUGUGGGGAAGUUACCUACAUUUCUCUGGGAUCUAGUUUCCUCAUCUGUAGGACGGGAUCAACUUCUGUUCUGCUUACCUCAUAGAGCUGUUGUGAGGGUCAAGUGGACCUCUGCUCCUGGGAGAUUAUCCCAUGGAAAGAAUUCAAAAGAAAAGAACAUAAACGUGUGAAGGUACUCCUUGUAGCUUUAUUUGUAAUAGCAAAAACAAAGAAACAAACACAAACAGCUCCACGAAAGAACCAAGCCACAAACAAAGAAACAGAAACCUUCAAAUAAACCUGGAAGUUAUUACGUAUCUUCACCUGUAUGGAAAAUUGUGCAGCCCUUAAUAAGCACAACUCUGGAAGGUAGGCGGUGUGGCUACACGGAAAAUUGUUUGAGCGUUGUUACAUGGAGAGAGAGGAAUAUAAAAUGUUACCUGCCCUAAAGCAUGUGAAAUCACCUGUAAAUGUGAGGAAAGGCUGAAAGGAAGCGUGGAAACAUCAAAGUCAAAGGGUUAAGGUGAUAAGAUUUUGAAUCAACAAAAAUUAUUAAUACUGAAAUGUUAUAAAUGCAAAUUAGAGAAAAAUUCAAAUAAAAUAUAUGUAAAAAUGCAUAUUUUUAUCUAGUGGCUAGGGAUGUCUAUCUCAGAGUUCCUGUGAUCUGUAGGCAAAUUUGAGAAGUUUUGAGAGGAGAGCAAUGACUAUUGGUCAGGUGAUGACAACUUGAAGUGUGAGCUCCCUGGGGUCAGGUACUGUGUCCUCCCCACCUCAGGGUCCUCCACACAGCCUGGUCCAUAGGAGGCCCUCAGCGGGGAAUCACAUCUAAACCUCCUAACAGGGACACAGGGGUGACUAUUUCCAUUUUACAGAAGAGGAAGCUGAUGCCUAGAAAAGGGCAAAUAGCCCAAAGUUUCCAGCAGCGAACAGCCAGGUCAGGACACACCUCACAUCUCCUGACCCCCAGGAUGGUACCUUUCCAGUCCUCACAGGGCUGCUUGGUCCCCACCACAGAUGGGAAGUGAACCAACUCCUCUCUGCUCACCCAGGUUCACCUGGAAUUAAGGUUGCUAAUCAGUUGACCUUGAAAUGUAGUUCUUAUCCUGGAUCAUCCCAGUGGGCCUGGUGUCAUCACAAGUCCUUACAAGUAGAAGAGAGAGGCAGAUAAGAAAGAACCAGAGAUACCAGCACAAGAAAGACUCAGCCACUGUUGCUGGUUUUGAAGAUGGAAGAAGGAUCAUGAACCAAGGAGUUCGGGUGGCCUCUAGAAGCUGAAAAGGACGAGGAAAUGGAUUCUGCCCUAGAGCUUCUAGAAGAAACGCAGCCUUGCCAACACCUUGAUUUUUAGCCCAAUGGGCUCAUUUUGGACAUCUGACCUCUAGAACUGUAAAAUAAUACAUUUGUGUUGUUUUAAGCACCUAAGUUUGUGGUAAUAUGUUACAGCAGCAAUGGGAAAUGACUACAGCGGGUGUUCCUGGACUCCUGGCUGGGCACCUCUGAAAAGAGAACAGGAUGACCUCCCUGGUGAGGGGAGAGGGGUGGGUAGAGUCUAUCUGUCUGGAAUUAGUCCUCCUGCUUGGAUUCACUGUUUACUAAUCCAGUUAGCAAUUUAUCCCCCAGCUGUGGUGAAAUCACUUUCAGGCCAAGAGUGUCUGGUUUUAAGUCCCAGGUAAAUUUCCUAGUGAAGCAUUGAGGGAACACGCCCUAAACAGAGGCCGAUGUGUCUUCAGGACAAGCUUCUGAAGUGGGUGUUGUUAUGCCCAUUUUGUGGAUGAGGAAACUGAGGCUCAAGAGGAAAUCAGUGCACCGUCCAAGGUCCCAUAGUGAAUGGCAGAGCCAUGGCUUGAAUCUGGGUCCGCCUGGUCCAGCUCUUCUUCAUACUACACACUCUGCCUUAACUGCCUUUUUCCUGAGCGUGUUGUAGAGAAAUUCCAGGUUCCCUCUGCUGAGACUCGCUCUCCGUUGCCCACUAGAGUUCCUAUAGUAAGUUACCACGCACGCUUUCUGUGUGGCCAGGUCAUUAUCCUUCAUUUCCCCCACGGAGGUCCUGCCUCCUUAAUUAGAUCACACACUGAGAGGCAGCAUCAGCUCCUUCUGAAAUCUGCUCCGUGCCAGAGCCUGCGCUGGGGGCUCACCAAAUUCCUAUUGGAUGAAAGAAUGGAAUCUGCCAGGAGAGAAGGAGAAACUCCUUCUAUUUUGAAUCUGUGGGGCAUUCUCACCCACCUUGGUCGUUACUGGAUAUUAGCAAAGGUGUGUGUAUUAGCCUGGAAAUUCUUUUAGGAGUUUUAAAAACUCAACAUCAAAGGCAGGAAAGGCUUGGUAGUCUUUGAUGUGCGUAAGAGAAGUCAGCUAGAGUUUUGGUAAAGUGGUGUGAAACACACUCACACACACACACACACUCCCCUUUCUUUACCAAAUAUGAAAGAUUCUCUCUGCCUCCUCCACCCUCAAAUAAUGGUCCGUUUUAAUAGCUGGGAGACUCUUUUGUUAUCCUAGCAGGGUGGAGAAUAUUUCUUCAGCUCUUUUGCUUUACUUUGCUCAGGAAAACCCUUCAAAUAGGACUCCUGCUUCCCUUUAUUGCAAAUGGUGCUGCAAAAAGGCCGGGAGAGUUUACAGAAUGAUGUCGUGGAGAAGAAAAUACACUGGCUCCGAAACCAGAGGACUUCCCCAAGGUCACACAUCUAAUCCUGGCCCGAAUACUACUUCCUCUGUUUCAAUGAAAGUUACGCAUAUGCAAAUUCGAAAUCUACUUAAUUGACAAAGUGAUGUGUGUCCCAGGAAUUGUUUGUGCAACUAACUGCAAGUGAAUCUGAGAGAGGCGAGGGCGUCAGAAGGGCGAGCGUCUGGGAUAUUUUAAUAUUCAGUAUUCCCAGACUCAGCAGGCAGCAGGCUAAAUCUGUCCGCUGAUGGGCAGGCAUGAAUUAUGAAACCACUCACGUAGGUUGAGAGGUUGCCCGGUGCUGGGGAAGUGUGUCCACCAGCGUCUCCUCAAGCAGGUGGGGGGAAGGGUCGCUCCCCAGUCGGGAGGGAAGGUCGGAUGUGGACAGCUUGCAGUUCCUGCCCAGUAAAACACCAUCUGCAGAUGAGGAGGUCAAAGUGCUGAGUUCCAGUCCUGCAUCUGCUGUCACCGCCGGCCAUGAUGUAGGGCAAGUCACUCCCCCAGUGGGCUUUCAGCUUCUCCUUCUAAAAGCUGAUCUCCAGGGCCCUUCCAGCUCCACAGAUUUCUGGUAUUCACUGACGGAUGCUCUUGGACUUUGGAACCACAGUGUGUUUGGGAGAUUUUGCUUUUGAAGGUUUCCUUUUGAGAUUGCCUUCAUUCACUGGGCAUCUUCUUGCUGAGAAAUACCAUCAAGAAAGCAAAGACUGAAGUUCCUUUUCCUUCCCCAAAUGUGAUGCUUAAAUAAAAUUCAGUUUUGUGGCUCAAA
Molecule: non-coding RNA, 3525 nt
Organism: Equus caballus (horse)
Lineage: Eukaryota; Metazoa; Chordata; Mammalia; Perissodactyla; Equidae
Source: RefSeq, a predicted model, not a curated record